GACGAACGCUGGCGGCGUGCUUAACACAUGCAAGUCGAACGGUAAGGCCCUUCGGGGUACACGAGUGGCGAACGGGUGAGUAACACGUGGGUGAUCUGCCCUGCACUUCGGGAUAAGCCUGGGAAACUGGGUCUAAUACCGGAUAGGGCCUCUGCCUGCAUGGGUGGUGGUGGAAAGCUUUUGCGGUGUGGGAUGGGCCCGCGGCCUAUCAGCUUGUUGGUGGGGUGAUGGCCUACCAAGGCGACGACGGGUAGCCGGCCUGAGAGGGUGACCGGCCACACUGGGACUGAGAUACGGCCCAGACGCCUACGGGAGGCAGCAGUGGGGAAUAUUGCACAAUGGGCGCAAGCCUGAUGCAGCGACGCCGCGUGAGGGGUGACGGCCUUCGGGUUGUAAACCUCUUUCAGCACCGACGAAGCGCAAGUGACGGUAGGUGCAGAAGAAGGACCGGCCAACUACGUGCCAGCCGCCGCUGUAA
This 478-nucleotide ribosomal RNA is filed under the name uncultured bacterium. Its description in RNAcentral is "partial 16S ribosomal RNA". It matches the Rfam family "Bacterial small subunit ribosomal RNA", at positions 28 to 523 of the family's 1533-position model. The record is from RNAcentral.